RNAcentral lists this long non-coding RNA (994 nucleotides) under Neogale vison (American mink). RNAcentral describes it as "Neovison vison (American mink) lncRNA (ENSNVIG00000018828.1)". Lineage: Eukaryota; Metazoa; Chordata; Mammalia; Carnivora; Mustelidae. The record is from RNAcentral.
GCACUUACCCUUCUAUGCCCUAAGAAGUCUCUGGUAGGCCGCUUUUGAGAGAGGCUUUUCUAAAUGAUGCUCCCUACUAACCUGUUUUAUUUAAUACGUGUCACCAAGCAUAUGACAUUUUCUUAAUACGUGGCCAUCACCCCAAAGCCUCUGUUUUCCCAUCUAUGAAAUGGGCCAAACAAUAGCCCCGACCUUAUGGAACCGCAUGUUCAUAUGCUCAGUUAAAAUCAAUACACCUUCAUAUGAGCGGUUCAGUGUGCAGCUGUGUGAGUUGAGUGCUUAGCCUGAUCCGCAGAAACACAGUCUGUAUUUUGAAGGGUUGAAUACCUCAUAAAUCAGCCAUCCAGGGUCUAGAUGAGCAGGCUGUUACUGUAUUUAUUACACUGCACUUGUACGAGAUCCUAUUUCUCUUUAAUAAAGUAAUUUUAAUCAUGCAUCUGUAAGGUCUUGCUGGGCGGCUACUCUUUUCCCACCUGCUGGCAAAGAGACACACUAGAGGACACUGCAAGUGAAGUACCGGGAUUGAUGUUAACCAAAGCUGUGGCUCCUGGAAGCUCCGUCCAGAUUCAGAGAUAUCAGAGGUUUACCCAACCGCGAGAACUCUCUAACCUUGGCUGUGCAAAAUAAAUCUCCUGGAGGAAUGUCUACGUCUGGUUCUAUAAGAAGGGUGAUGGAAAACAACGACGUGUUUCUGGAUUGGAAGUUUGGCCUUGUCAGUCUUGAGAAGCGGGCUGUGGAAGGUCCAGACUCUAGCCUGGAGCGAUUGGGGGUGGUCUAAAACCAUGUGGACCACCUGGAAGGCACAGAGGCUUUGACAAGCAGUGCAGCAACAAGACAGAAACUACCAUUCGCGAGAUAAAUUCAGGUCAGUCUUUUGGGAGGUCUUGCUUCUGCGCUUUAAGAAAUGUGUUCAGCCACUACAGCAGGCCAGCAGCAUGACUGGCCUUUUCCCCAGUUUUAGUUAGCCCCAGCAUUACGGCUAAUCAGGAGCAGG